GACGAACGCUGGCGGCGUGCUUAACACAUGCAAGUCGAACGAGAAGAGAUGAGAAGCUUGCUUCUUAUUGAUUCGAGUGGCAAACGGGUGAGUAACGCGUAAGCAACCUGCCCUCUAGAUGGGGACAACAGCUGGAAACGGCUGCUAAUACCGAAUACGUUUUUUCUGUCGCAUGGCAGAGGGAAGAAAGGGAGGCUCUUCGGAGCUUUCGCUGGAGGAGGGGCUUGCGUCUGAUUAGCUAGUUGGAGGGGUAACGGCCCACCAAGGCGACGAUCAGUAGCCGGUCUGAGAGGAUGAACGGCCACAUUGGGACUGAGACACGGCCCAGACUCCUACGGGAGGCAGCAGUGGGGAAUCUUCCGCAAUGGACGAAAGUCUGACGGAGCAACGCCGCGUGAACGAUGACGGCCUUCGGGUUGUAAAGUUCUGUUAUACGGGACGAAUGGUACGACGGCCAAUACCCGUCGUAAGUGACGGUAC
This 480-nucleotide ribosomal RNA is filed under the name uncultured bacterium. RNAcentral describes it as "bacterial SSU rRNA". It matches the Rfam family "Bacterial small subunit ribosomal RNA", at positions 28 to 478 of the family's 1533-position model. The record is from RNAcentral.